GAUGAACGCUGGCGGCGUGCCUAAUACAUGCAAGUCGAGCGAACAGAUAAGGAUCUUGCUCCUUUGACGUUAUCGGCUGACGUGUGAGUAACACGUGGUUAACCUACCUAUAUGACUGGGAUAACUUCGUGUAACCUUAUCUAAUACCGUAUAACAUUUUGAACCGCAUUUUUCUAUAGUUUAUGUUGGUUUUUCUAUCUCUUAUAGAUGGUCCCUCGCCGUAUUAGCUAGUUGGUAAGGUAACGGCUUACCAAGGCAACGAUACGUAGCCGACAUGAGAGGGUGAACGGCAAAACUGGAACGGAGACACGGAACAGACAACUACGGGAGGCAGCAGUAGGGAAGAGGACGCAAUGGGCGAAAGGAUGACGGAGCAAAGCGGAGGGAGAGAAGAAGGGUUUAGGAUAGUAAAAAUCUGUUAUUAGGGAAGAAAAAAAGUGGAAGUAAAUGUGCACGGAGUGACGGUAACUAAUCAGAAAGCAACGGCUAACUACGUG
This 497-nucleotide ribosomal RNA is filed under the name uncultured bacterium. RNAcentral's name for it is "partial 16S ribosomal RNA". It matches the Rfam family "Bacterial small subunit ribosomal RNA", at positions 28 to 507 of the family's 1533-position model. The record is from RNAcentral.